This 161-nucleotide non-coding RNA is filed under the name bovine gut metagenome. Its description in RNAcentral is "Lysine riboswitch". It matches the Rfam family "Lysine riboswitch aptamer". From Rfam's summary of the family: Riboswitches are metabolite binding domains within certain messenger RNAs that serve as precision sensors for their corresponding targets. The record is from RNAcentral.
UGAAUAGAGGCGCGGCUGUCAAGAGUACAACUGAUUUUGGACCGCAUAUCCGUUUUGUCAGAAGGAAAGGGGCAGCUGCCGAAGAGAUGAUCCUGCAAAUCAUCUCUGGGCGUGCGGAGAAUAUCCGUACGACUGUCGCAUCAUUUGCGGAGAGCUAUGGA